UACGUAGGUGGCAAGCGUUGUCCGGAUUUACUGGGCGUAAAGAGCGCGCAGGCGGUCGUUCAAGUCGCGUGUGAAAGCCCCCGGCUCAACUGGGGAGGGUCACGCGAUACUGAUCGACUCGAAGGCAGGAGAGGGUAGUGGAAUUCCCGGUGUAGUGGUGAAAUGCGUAGAUAUCGGGAGGAACACCAGUGGCGAAGGCGACUACCUGGCCUGUUCUUGACGCUGAGGCGCGAAAGCUAGGGGAGCAAAUGGG
This 253-nucleotide ribosomal RNA is filed under the name uncultured bacterium. Its description in RNAcentral is "partial 16S ribosomal RNA". It matches the Rfam family "Bacterial small subunit ribosomal RNA", at positions 524 to 776 of the family's 1533-position model. The record is from RNAcentral.